UACGUAGGUGGCAAGCGUUAUCCGGAUUUACUGGGUGUAAAGGGCGAGUAGGCGGGAUUGCAAGUCAGAUGUGAAAACUAUGGGCUCAACCGAUAGAGUGCAUUUGAAACUGCAGUUCUUGAGUACUGGAGAGGCAGACGGAAUUCCUAGUGUAGCGGUGAAAUGCGUAGAUAUAUGGAAGAACACCAGUGGCGAAAGCGGCUCUCUGGUCUGUAACUGACGCUGAGGUUCGAAAGCGUGGGUAGCAAACAGG
Molecule: ribosomal RNA, 253 nt
Filed under: uncultured Oscillospiraceae bacterium
Lineage: Bacteria; Bacillati; Bacillota; Clostridia; Eubacteriales; Oscillospiraceae
Description: partial 16S ribosomal RNA
Rfam family: Bacterial small subunit ribosomal RNA
Source: RNAcentral